Molecule: ribosomal RNA, 491 nt
Filed under: uncultured bacterium
Lineage: Bacteria
Description: partial 16S ribosomal RNA
Rfam family: Bacterial small subunit ribosomal RNA
Source: RNAcentral
GAUGAACGCUAGCUACAGGCUUAACACAUGCAAGUCGAGGGGAAACGGCAUCGAAAGCUUGCUUUUGAUGGGCGUCGACCGGCGCACGGGUGAGUAACGCGUAUCCAACCUGCCCAUCACUUGGGAAUAACCUUGCGAAAGUAAGACUAAUGCCCAAUGACAUCCCACGAAGGCAUCCGAAUGGGAUUAAAGAUUUAUCGGUGAUGGAUGGGGAUGCGUCUGAUUAGCUUGUUGGCGGGGUGACGGCCCACCAAGGCAACGAUCAGUAGGGGUUCUGAGAGGAAGGUCCCCCACAUUGGAACUGAGACACGGUCCAAACGCCGACGGGAGGCAGCAGUGAGGAAUAGUGGUCAAUGGGCGUGAGCCUGAACCAGCCAAGUAGCGUGCAGGAUGACGGCCCUAUGGGUUGUAAACUGCUUUUAUAAGGGAAUAAAGUGGGUCACGUGUGACUUUUUGCAUGUACCUUAUGAAUAAGGACCGGCUAAUUCCGU